This 3995-nucleotide long non-coding RNA is filed under the name Nicotiana tabacum (common tobacco). RNAcentral's name for it is "long non-coding RNA (NTAB_LNC014427)". Lineage: Eukaryota; Viridiplantae; Streptophyta; Magnoliopsida; Solanales; Solanaceae. The record is from RNAcentral.
AGUAAACGUUUGGUUAGUAGUAAUACAAUAAAAAGUGUCACGACCCGGAUUUUUUUCCCUCGGAAAUCGUGAUGGUGCAUAAUCGUGGAAGCUUGGCAAGCCAAUUAUUAGGGGUCUACACAGUAACAAUCAAUCCCAAACAGUUAUAAACAAAAAACUUAAAAUUAAACAGCUGAUAAAUGCGGAAGAGUUAUAGCAUGAUCAAAUAAUCCAAUACAAGUCUACCUACGGAUCCGGUGUCACAACUUCAUGACAUCUACGAGUUACUACAAAUACUGGUCUGAAAAGAAAGUACAACUGUUCUCGGGAAAGAAAAGAGACAGUAGAAAAGCUAAAUAGGGAAGGGGGACUUUAGGCUCUGCGAACGCCAGCAAAUCUACCUUGGUCUCCCUGGACUGAAGGCAGCUACCGCAGAUACUUACCGGGUCCGAUACCGAAAUUUGCACAAAAGAGUAUAGAGUGUAGUAUCAGUACAACCGACCCCAUGUACUGAGUAAGUGUCGAGCCUAACCUCGGCGAAGUAGUGACGAGGCUAGGACACGACAAUCACAUAUACCUAUGCAGAUAGAUCAUAUACAGACAUAAAUAUAAUAACAGGAAUCAACAGAAUAAGGUGGGAAGGGGACAUGCUGCGGGAGAUAUCAGAUUCUAACAAUAAGCCAAUAAAGGAGCAUCAAUAAAGGAGCAUAAUGAACAUCAUAUUUAAAUCAACAAAACAGUGAAACGUUAACACGUGCACGACGUCACCCCAUGCUUUUACUCUCAUCCUCACCAUAUAAAAACAAUAGAAUGGCACGACAUCACCCUUCGUGCACUAUUCCUCACAUAUCGGCACGAUAUCACCCUUCGUGCAUUAACUCUCAAAUCAUGACACGGCAUCACCCUUCGUGCGUUAUCACUCAUAAUAUCGUGCACGACAUCACCCUUCGUGCUUUACACUCUCUCACAAUAACAUGCACGACAUCACCCUCCGUGAUUUACACUCUUCCUUACACAAACAAUGGAAAACAAUAUGUCCCGAAAAGGGAAUCAACUAUAUCAACAAUAACAUCCCGGCAAGGGAAUCAACAAUAUCAGCAAAACAUCCCGGCAAAGGAUUCAGCUAUAACCAAUCUCGCUUCAAAAAUUUCCUUACCAAAAUGAAACUUUAAUUUGAGUCAAUACUCAACAAUAGUCAAUUACCAAGAAACUUUCAUAAGCUUGUUCAACAUUACUAACCAUCAAUUGAGCAUGAUUGGUACAUAAUAGGUUCACAAAAUCAUGAUAUAAGACUCACGAGCAUGCUUGACACUAAUGUAUAGAUGCUCGUCACCACACAUAUAUGUCGUACUCGAUACAAGCACAUAGCAAAUAGACCAUAACUCCUAUUCCGUCAAGCUAAGGUUAUGCCAGACACUUACCUCGAUUCCACGAACAAGAUUAAGCCUCUACUAUCGCUUUACCUCUCGGUUUCACUUCCAAUUCGCUUGCAUCUAGUCACAAUUUACUUAACGAUAUCAACAAAUGCUAAAUAAACCAAUUCUAAUGCAUGAAAUUUCUAAUGAUUUCCCCAAAAAGUCAAAAAUUGACCCCGGGCCCGCUUGGUCAAAACCCGAAGUUCGAACCAAAACCCGAUCACCCAAUCACUCACGAACUCAAAUAUGUAAUUAGUUUUGAAAUCGGACAUCAAAUCAAGGUCAAAUUUUGAAAAUUUGAAAAUCCUAACUUCUACCCAAAAACACCCAAUUUCCCAUGAAAACCUUGAUUUUGAAAUGAAAUCAUGUAAAAAGAUGUUAUAGAUUGAAGAAAAUAAGUUAGAAAUUACUUACUAAUCAUUUAGAGAAGUUUGUGCCUUUGAAAAAUCGCCUAAGGAGGUUUAGGGUUUAAGAAUGUUCGAAAAAUGAAGAAAAUCCCCUCUGAAAUCACAUUUAGCAGGUGCAGUUAAGAGGGGUUCGCAAUUGCAAACCCUUCAAAAGUCUGCUACCUUGGCAUCUGCGAAGGAUAUGUCGCAUUUGCGACUCCUGACUCUUUCACAUUUGCGACCAAAUUGUCGCAUUUGCGAGAAUGGCCUGCCCAGGCUUGGUUCGCAAUUGCGACGCCUGGGUCGCAUUUCCCAAGCAUGAUAACUUCGCAUUUGCGAAGCCUGAUCUCGCAAUUGCGAGAUCAGAGUCCUUUCACACAGCUGCAACAUACCAACAAUUUUCAUACGUCCAAAUUCACUCUGUAGCCUCCAAAACUCACGCAAGCCCUCGGGGCCCCAAACCAAUCAUGCAUGCAAAUCUAAAAAUAUCAUAUGGACUUGCUCGUGUGAGCAAAUCAUCAAAAUAAUAUCAACAACUACGAAUUAAACCUCAAAUUCAUAAAAUCACUCAAGAACAUUGAAAUUUUUAUUUUCUCAACUAUAGGUCCGAUUUAUACCAAACCAAUUCCGAUUCUUGUCACACCUCCUUUUUCCUACACCCCCGUAAAAGGGUAUAAGAGAGUUUUUUCAAUUUAAAGUGACAAUCAAAACGGGGUCAUUUUAUUAAAAAUUUAGAGUCGCCACUUGGGAUAAUUUAUGGUGUCCCAAGUCACCGAUUCAAAUCCCGAAUCGAGGAAAAGAUUGACUCUGUUUUUCAGUCCGAGAACACAGAAAUCCGGGUAAGGAAUUCUGUUAACCCGGAGAAAGGUGUUAGGCAUCCCUGGAUUCCGUGGUUCUGGCACGGUCGCUUAACUGCUAUCAUUGGCCUAAUUAUCUAAUUUUAAAACACUUUUAAACCUAUGUGCAUUUUUAACUUUUUAACCGCUUUUAUUCAUUUUUAGGAAGAUUUCAACGUUAUACAAAACACGCCUUUGGAUCACGCCACAUGAAAUGCACCCGCUAUCUGCGACAUAUUUUAUUUAACGUUAUUAGGAUUUGGAUUUGGGUCACAUGAAAUGCACACCCGAGUUUAGGAAAGUAAUUUUUAAAAUAGUGCGCCUAAAGCAACUACGCAUUUUAAAUUUGUGAGGGCCAUGAAAAAUUCAACUAGAUGGUGCUCCUCGAUUUCUAAAAGAUUAAAAUUAAUUAAGUGAGGGCCAUGCGUUUGAGAUUUUAUUUGGGAUGGCACGCCUCAAAUUAUUCCAAAGGGCUUUACUCGACUAAAACAAACUACGGAUGAUCAUAAGUUAUUUUUUCUUAAACUACUUCAAUUUUUUCUUUUUAAAUCUAGUAGAUGAAAUAAUAUAUAUUUCUACAUAUAACAUCAGAUCAUUAAACCUGUCUAGGAGACAAAAGCUCAAAUAAAACGUAUAAACUUAUCCUGAACAUAUUCAUGGUCUAAGAAACUCUAUUCAACACAUAAUUACAGAGAUUCAAUAUUCACGAAUCAAAAAAUGCUAACCCAAGAACCCGUUUCGUGCUUCUGUACCCGUUGUCCAAUUAACUCACAAUUCAAACAAUUUCAAUGGACAAACUACCAUGACAAUCCAUUAGAACUAACAACCAGUGCUUAACUCUACAUUCACAAACCAUGGUACUGAAGGCAAAAUAAGGAUCGAAGCUAGAGCCACUAAUCUCUCACAUGAAUUUCGGAAAUAGGAAACAAACUUCAACCAUAUCAUUAUAAUUUCUAAAAUCAAUAGAAAUAGAAGAACACGAAAUCCUCUGAGAUGUAUUACUCAAAUUCAUAGCAGUGACAACUUGAUACUAACAAGGGUACAUUUAGAGCCAACAAAUAUAACUGAAAAGCAUUUAAGAUCUAGCAAGCAAUUUCUCAAAAAAUAAUAAUAGAAAAAUAACUCAACAAAACAUUGAACUAACAACAUGCCGUGAAUUUAAUACUUCUCAUUUCCAGUAACAAAUACAAACAAUUAGAGAUUCAGGGAUAUGUACCUAACUGCAGAGAGACCCGUAGGAACAAUGACCCAAAUAAAGGUCCAAAUUGAUGAAUGAAAUUGGGCAGCAGAAACGGCCAAACAAGGAGACAACAGUAGCAAAGAACCAAGCAAUGGCUUAUAGAGCUUCAGCAAUAAUCAACAACAAACAAAUCGNNNNN